RNAcentral lists this ribosomal RNA (449 nucleotides) under uncultured bacterium. Its description in RNAcentral is "bacterial SSU rRNA". It matches the Rfam family "Bacterial small subunit ribosomal RNA", at positions 354 to 796 of the family's 1533-position model. The record is from RNAcentral.
GUGGGGAAUCUUGCGCAAUGGGCGAAAGCCUGACGCAGCGACGCCGCGUGAGUGAUGAAGGCCUUCGGGUUGUAAAGCUCUGUGGGGAGAGACGAAUAAGUGCGGGCUAAUACUCCGCAUGAUGACGGUAUCUCCUUAGCAAGCACCGGCUAACUCUGUGCCAGCAGCCGCGGUAAGACAGAGGGUGCAAACGUUGUUCGGAAUUACUGGGCGUAAAGCGAGUGUAGGCGGUUUCCUAAGUCAGGUGUGAAAGCCCCGGGCUCAACCCGGGAAGUGCACUUGAAACUGGGAGGCUAGAGUAUCGGAGAGGUUGGUGGAAUUCUCGGUGUAGAGGUGAAAUUCGUAGAUAUCGAGAGGAACACCGGUGGCGAAGGCGGCCAACUGGACGAAUACUGACGCUGAGACUCGAAAGCGUGGGGAGCAAACAGGAUUAGAAACCCCAGUAGUCC